GGUCCCAUGUAAUUUAAUUCAUAAAUUUGGUCUCCCUACAAAAUAGAAGGACCAAAUUUAUGAAUUAAAUUACUGGGGAU
This 80-nucleotide microRNA precursor is filed under the name Glycine max (soybean). RNAcentral's name for it is "miR10445 stem-loop (gma-MIR10445)". Lineage: Eukaryota; Viridiplantae; Streptophyta; Magnoliopsida; Fabales; Fabaceae. The record is from miRBase by way of RNAcentral.